RNAcentral lists this long non-coding RNA (1060 nucleotides) under Gallus gallus (chicken). RNAcentral describes it as "lncRNA (ENSGALG00010010121.1)". Lineage: Eukaryota; Metazoa; Chordata; Aves; Galliformes; Phasianidae. The record is from RNAcentral.
UUUACAGCUUAGACUCACUCCAGGGAGUUAUUCCGACAUUUUCAAGAGAAAAUUCAUCUCGACUGUCUCAGGCACCUCUUCUGAGAAUUUUCCAAAUAAGGUCCCUAGAGAGGAAGCAAAACAUAGACUGAGUAUCUUGCUCGUACUUUUUGAAUGGAAUCUGUCUUCAUGUAACUGAGAUAGGAAAUAAAAUACACCACAAGUUUUUAGAAGCAAUGGAAGAAAGAAAAGAGGUGGCAGCAGCAUAAUUCUGCCUGAAGGUUCAGGUAUUUUACAGGCCUCCCAUGUGACACAGAGACAGUAAGUUGCUAGAAUGGAAGAAGUAAGUGCUCUGCACCUCUGCUGUAAUUAAGGGAUCAUUUUCCUUCACUGCAGUGAUGCUGAUGAACAGCAGAGCAGCAGAGCACAGGCACGGAGCACCAGACUCAUGGGCUCAGAGCACAGAAACUUAAAUGAUAACAGAAGAACUCCUGAAGAUCAUUCUCCAAGUGGUUCCUGUCUUCCCUGGGGUCUCCCUUGCCAUCAUUCAACGAUGACUCCAACAGCUGCAGAUGUUACAUGCAGUUCGUAUAAAACUGGAAUUAACAAGAUGCACUUCUUAUUCUAAUGUGAAGAAACAUUUCCCUAGAUUCCAGGAGCAUCCAUAACAUGAGCUAAAAUAUGAGUGUAACACAGCAGAGAAGAAGCCACAUUGAAGUGCAAUGAAAACUGAGAGAUCCUUUGUUGUUUGGACUCACCGGGACUCAUACAGCUGCCUCUGUCUCACCUUCCUGAACUUCACCUCUGUUCUCUUGAAAGAUCACUUGUUCUGGCUCUCCUGUCAAGUCUGUGUGAUGUGAUUUAAAAUCUAUAAAUUCCUGCCGGUGCUUGACUGUAGUUUUUAAAUCAGCUCUGAAAGUCUUUUGGAAAUAAGAAUUUCACUGACAUCAUAACCUGUGGUUAAUUUAUUAAAUGGUGUGCUGAGAAAUCUUACAGAAUGUAAAAUGAACAAUUUAGUUAACAAGAGUUUAGACUAUAUCAUAUGAAUUAGCAGUUCAUAAAAAGUGCGAAGGUAUACGAU